GGGGCAACCUGGCGGCGAGCGGCGAACGGGUGCGUAACACAUCGGAACAUGUCCAUUCGUGGGGGAUAGCCCGGCGAAAGCCGGGUUAAUACCGCAUGAGCCCGAGAGGGGAAAGUGGGGGACCGCAAGGCCUCACGCGGAUGGGUUGGCCGAUGUCCGAUUAGCUAGUUGGCGGGGUAAGAGCCCACCAAGGCGAUGAUCGGUAGCUGGUCUGAGAGGAUGAUCAGCCACACUGGGACUGAGACACGGCCCAGACUCCUACGGGAGGCAGCAGUGGGGAAUUUUGGACAAUGGGGGCAACCCUGAUCCAGCCAUUCCGCGUGAGUGAAGAAGGCCUUCGGGUUGUAAAGCUCUUUUGUCCGGAGCGAAAAGGUUACGGUGAAUAUCCGUGACUACUGACGGUACCGGAAGAAUAAGCACCGGCUAACUACGUGCCAGCAGCCGCGGUAAUACGUAGGGUGCGAGCGUUAAUCGGAAUUACUGGGCGUAAAGCGUGCGCAGGCGGUUUUGUAAGCCAGAUGUGAAAGCCCCGGGCUUAACCUGGGAAUGGCAUUUGGGACUGCAAGGCUGGAGUGUGGCAGAGGAGACUGGAAUUCCUGGUGUAGCAGUGAAAUGCGUAGAUAUCAGGAGGAAUACCGAUGGCGAAGGCAGGUCUCUGGGCUGACACUGACGCUCAUGCACGAAAGCGUGGGGAGCAAACAGGAUUAGAUACCCUGGUAGUCCACGCCCUAAACGAUGUCGACUGGUUGUUGGGGGUUUGACACUCUCAGUAACGAAGCUAACGCGUG
This 788-nucleotide ribosomal RNA is filed under the name uncultured beta proteobacterium. RNAcentral's name for it is "bacterial SSU rRNA". It matches the Rfam family "Bacterial small subunit ribosomal RNA", at positions 76 to 861 of the family's 1533-position model. The record is from RNAcentral. Lineage: Bacteria; Pseudomonadati; Pseudomonadota; Betaproteobacteria.